Molecule: non-coding RNA, 86 nt
Filed under: Clostridiales bacterium
Lineage: Bacteria; Bacillati; Bacillota; Clostridia; Eubacteriales
Description: SAM-I sequence
Rfam family: SAM riboswitch aptamer (S box leader)
About the family: The SAM riboswitch is found upstream of a number of genes which code for proteins involved in methionine or cysteine biosynthesis in Gram-positive bacteria.
Source: RNAcentral
GUCUUAUCGAGAGUGGUGGAGGGACCUGCCCUUUGAAGCCCGACAACCUGCCUUUUAUGGCAAGGUGUUAAAUCAGACGAUAAAAA